Gallus gallus (chicken) is the source of this 305-nucleotide long non-coding RNA. Lineage: Eukaryota; Metazoa; Chordata; Aves; Galliformes; Phasianidae. The record is from Ensembl.
AGCUAUAUGAAGAUGGACUACUUCCGACUCAUUUACAGGUCUCCUUACGGCAGGCGUCAUGAUCUCUGUUCCAGAAGAUCUGUGUCAUCAGUGGAAAGCCUAGAUGAGAAAUUGCUCAGCUGAGGACUCCGAUAAGAUCCUUGUCCAUGAGCUAAAGAGUAACUGGGAAUCAAAGUUUGAUGGCUAAUCUUGAUGGCAGCUCUGCCAUGACUACCUAAAGGUACCUGGAGGACUCAAGCAAACUUGACCAUAUGGAAAACUUGAACAGGAAAUAACCUGAAAAUCCAGAUGACAGAGACAUAACC